UGAGGUAGUAGAGUGCAGUAGUU
Molecule: microRNA, 23 nt
Filed under: Canis lupus familiaris (dog)
Lineage: Eukaryota; Metazoa; Chordata; Mammalia; Carnivora; Canidae
Description: cfa-let-7j
Gene: cfa-let-7j
Source: miRBase by way of RNAcentral